Molecule: long non-coding RNA, 1884 nt
Filed under: Salvia miltiorrhiza (redroot sage)
Lineage: Eukaryota; Viridiplantae; Streptophyta; Magnoliopsida; Lamiales; Lamiaceae
Description: long non-coding RNA (SMIL_LNC009229)
Source: RNAcentral
AAUUAUACUACUAAGUUAUAAAAAUUAAGUUGAAAAAACAUUUACGCCCCAACUCAAAUUUAUAUAGCCUCACUGUCUCUGUCUCUAAUUCUCUAUCUCUCCACCUCUUUCUCUAUUCACAUGCAUAGCCUCGUUCGAUGUUAUAGAUGUCGUCGCCACCGCCAACGACUGAAUAAUCAUAAGGUCGUCUCUUUUCGUACUAUUUCGUGAUUUCCACUAAAUCAUCAUAACGACGUUCUCGUUCUUCAAGCAAUCGAGGCCUAAAGACACCACAGGAAUUGGCGAAGGCGAUAAAUGAUAGUCUCAUGGAGAUCGAUUCCAUUACUGCAGCUGAAGCCAAAUCCCUAGAAAAAGGUAGAACAGUGGAAAAUGUGAUUAUAAUUUGUGAUUCGCUGGUUCUAAUUUUUCUGUUGUUAUUGGUUUGUUAUAUUUUUUGUCUUCUAUUGAAGGUAAUUUGACUGAUAAGGCAGUAUGAACAGUUAAUUAGUUAAUUUUGGUACCAGCAUGUAACUUCUUCUACUUACUUUUUUUUCUUUUUUGAUUUACUGUAUCGAUAUUCUUGAGAAAAUUGUGAUUUGUUUUACUUAGAAGAUACUUAUAAAGUAGUCAAACUUUUCGAAAUGAGUGUGUAGAUGCAAGUAAAAUCAUAUUUUUUUAACAGUGAAGAGAUCAUUGAUUUCUUAUAUAGGUUCUAAUUCUUAGCUAAAAGGAUAAGUUGAUCAGUAGAAUGAGUUCAGGCUAUUCUGUUCAGAUAUUAGUUUCAGGAAUUUAAAUUUUUUCCCAUGAAAGCCAAAAAAGGUAGAAGAUAAGAUCCCGUCCCAGUGAGCUGGAAAGUCAUGGAUUUUACAAUUUAAAGGUUAGAAGUUCUUAACUUAAUCUUCAGUUAAGUGUCUGAUUUUACAGUGAUUGACAUGGAACAAAUUACAUGUGUAGAAACAAAAGGAAACAGGUUCUCGAAGGUGCAACUUGCUAUAUCAUUUAUUCAGUCUGUGAUGUGUAUAUAAUACACCUCUCUGUGACUACAUAGCUUAUUAGUUUUAAUAUGCAGAAGCAUAUUUACUUUAGAUUGUACUUUCUUCAAGCACUCAUCAGUUUUAGAUUAUUACAUAAGACUUAUGUGUGUGUGUGUGUGUUUUUAAUGCUUGUUAAUCUUUAAUUAUGUGCAAAGUAUAUCACCACUGAACUACAUUUUUUACUUGCCGAUCGAAUUCCUCCUUACUCUCGUCGCAAACUUUCUCUACUUAACUUUUGAGGCCUUUGAAUUAGUUCGAUUUUGUGUUCGGAAACUAUAAGGUUCCUUAAUGACUAUGUUCUGUUUUUAAUAAAGGCCCUUGAUUUAAUUGAUGCGGUCAAAGGACUGCAUGCACGAACAAAUCAUGGAUCAUACAUACAGGUUAUUUGGAAGAAAUAAAUAGCUAUAUUGAUUCCUGUUUAAACUUUGGAAUGCAAAUGAUGGAAUCACAUGAUCAUUGCCACUUGACUUGGACAAAUUUGCAAGGUAUCUUCCUCUUCGUAUCUUUCGUUUCUGGGGCCAUUGUCGGAGCUGCUGGUGCUGAUUUUUUUAUUUUUUUUUCAGAACUGCCAGAGAGAGAAAAGUGAGAAACAGUGGUGCUAAUCGAGGAAGGAGAAGACGCAAGUGAGAAAUUCACUGUAGAUCGUAAUUUAGGAUUCAUGUUCUUAGAUUUUGAAUUGGGGCUAUAUAAAUUAGAUAUUUAACAGUAUUUUUUAUAUUAGAAUCAAGAUAUCAGGAUGGGGGUUAUGAGUAUCUAUUAAUACAUUGUACGCAUUAAUGGGGCUAUAAGGUUAAGAUAGUAAAAUCAUAAUUAUUUUUAUUAUUUUUUAAGAAAAGAGGUUAUAUUGAGAGAAUUGGGGGCUGUGUUUAAA